CCCCUCCCCUCAGCCCACCCUCCUUCCCCCCCGCCGCCCAGACCGCGCUGCCCUCGCUCACCUCUGUCUCGCUCCCCGCUCGCUCGGCAGCGGCUGCCGGCAGCUCAUGGCGGAGCGGACGGGAGGCCGCGCUGAGGGGUCGGAGGCCGCGGUGAGGGGCGGAGGAGGCCGCGGUGAGGGGCGGAGCAGGCCGCGGUGAGGGGUCGGAGGCCGCGGUGAGGGGCGGAGGUGGCCCCGGUGAGGGCCCAGGCCGCGGUGAGGGGCGGCAGCGGGCCCUGCACCGGCCCCGACCGCCGCUUCCGCCGCCGCCUCGCCCCGUG
RNAcentral lists this long non-coding RNA (320 nucleotides) under Malurus cyaneus samueli. RNAcentral's name for it is "lncRNA (ENSMCSG00000013708.1)". The record is from RNAcentral. Lineage: Eukaryota; Metazoa; Chordata; Aves; Passeriformes; Maluridae.